This 1513-nucleotide long non-coding RNA is filed under the name Zonotrichia albicollis (white-throated sparrow). RNAcentral's name for it is "lncRNA (ENSZALG00000017522.1)". The record is from RNAcentral. Lineage: Eukaryota; Metazoa; Chordata; Aves; Passeriformes; Passerellidae.
ACUGCACCUUCAUGCUCUCAUUGUUCAAGCCCAGCCUGCCCACAAAGCCCAGCUGGAUAAAGAAGAUGUGCAGAUAUGGGCCAUGAGGAUGCUCAGUGGAAGGUUACAAGUUACUGUCACAGAGACAGCUCUUCCUCACACCUCUGUGAAGUUCAUGUAAAUAAAGUUCUAGCAGCUUUCAGGUGUGAAAUGACAGUCUAGAACUGCACAACAGCCUAAAUUAUAUCAGCUUUAUGAAAACAGUGCAUACUGUUUACACCUUCAGAACAGGAAAAUGACCCUGAGCACCUAUGCCUGUUCUCCAUCUCAGCUAGAAAAACCAAGGAUAGGUGGAAGGCAAAUAAAUCCAACAAAAGGAUUUACUCUUACAGCACUGAGUGAUUCAACUAGUCUGAGAUUUUUCCUUCUGGCCCCUUCCACCUGACUGGGACUUGCCUUUAGAAGAGGAUUCCCAUGAAGCCCAGACUGUGGUACCCUGGUCAGACAUAGCUUGUGCCCAGUUUUUCCCACUGGCUGCCUCCAGCCUUUGCUCAGCACAUACCGUGCUAUGGAAGAAGCUGAGGAUCUAACUCCAGGUGCACAAAUAUUUAUCUUGAGGUCAGGAGUUUCAGUUCAUGUGUUGCUGUCUACUAAAAUUGUUUCCUCUCUCUUGCCCUAGGUACAUGCAAAGAUAGGGCAGAAGAAGGUUCAGAGAUUGCAGUGAGUUGAUUGUAGUUUAAUACAGCCAAAACCAACCUGUGAGCCACAGCUUCAGCUGUAGGCUCUGUCCUGCAGGGAAAACCUGUUGUUAAGGAAACAACCAUUAUCUUAUCUGCAGACUCUGGAAACAUUAACAUCAGCUUUGUAUAAGGAUUCAAAGGUCCUCCUAUAUACAAGGAAAACCGUUAACACAAACAUGUCUGAGAUGAAUACAUGUGUAUCUGUAUUUUAAAUAGAAUGUUGUCUUUUUCAUUAAAAAACUUAAUACAAAAUUGAGGUUCUGCAGUGACACACUGGGUUUGCUGGGUUCCUUCAGUUCCUUCAGCUGUGACCCUUCAGAUUGCUGAAUUUAGUGCUUGGACGUCCAACAGCUUGAAGGCUCUGACCAUCCAUUUGGUGAGCUCAGGCAGUUCCUCACUGAAGCAGAUUUUGGCAGGGUGCUGGCUGCUCUCAGUAACUCUGGUUUUCCAUUUCAUGCAGGAAUCCUGCUUUUAAAAACAGAACCCAGAGAUGCCUGUGAAUAAUUCGCUUCCACAAGCACUGAAGUAUUGCUGCCAUUUAAUGAGAGAAGCAGUCUGAGUGCUACCUGCACCUACUUCUGACCUAGACUGCAACCCCUCUAUGUGCCAUGUGUAUAAUGCCUGGUGCAACAGCCCCCCUGACCUCAGCACAGCUGCAGGUAACAUAGGAAACUGUUUGAAAAUUAAUAAUUUAUAUUUAACUCUUUGCAAUGGAUAGUUUGGAAUAAUUUGAAUUCUGCUGACAUAUCCCACUAAAUGUUGGUUAGUAAAUAAAUUUUGUUCCCAUGACCUCA